AUGAGACUUACAAAUUUCAUCCAUUAAGACCAAAUUUCAUGAGAAAUUAUGACUAGGUUAAUGAAGGAUGAAAUAUUAUCAAAUCUCAUUCUUAGUGACUUAUGAGCAUGUGUUAUAAGCCUUAAUAUUUAAAUGGCUAAGGGAAUAAAUUAAGUUCCAUUAGAAGUUAUAUUUCAUUGGAACUUAUCCCAAAAUGGAAUAUUCAGACAUAAUUCAUUUAUCAUAAUAUUUACUUGUAUUGUCUUAUAUGAAUUAAGGUAUUAAAGAAAUUAAUUCAUAUAUACUAUGAUUCCUUCUAAAUAUGUCCCCAAAAUUUUUAUAACAUAUGGACAUUAAGGAAAUCAAGUCUAACAUAUAUGACAUGUUCCCACAGCACAUACAUCAUUGAAACUUAUCUUGUAGCAUUCCUACAGAUCUAAAAGGUUAGUGGGAGUAUUAAGUGUCUUAAUCUUAAUUUGCGAGAGUUGCAAGAGGUGGGGGAAGAAACUACAAUGAACCUAUUAAAUUUUACUCCGAUUACACCUCUUGCGCACACUUAGAAUUUUGAAAGUGAUAGCAACUUAGGCAAGAGUUAAUCCAUAAAACUGAAACUCUUAAUA
Molecule: long non-coding RNA, 599 nt
Filed under: Helianthus annuus (common sunflower)
Lineage: Eukaryota; Viridiplantae; Streptophyta; Magnoliopsida; Asterales; Asteraceae
Description: sRNA HanXRQr2_Chr03g0111461
Source: RNAcentral